UACGGAGGGUGCAAGCGUUAUCCGGAUUCACUGGGUUUAAAGGGUGCGUAGGCGGGUUGGUAAGUCCGUAGUGAAAUCCCCAAGCUUAACUUGGGAACUGCCGUGGAUACUAUCAAUCUUGAAUAUCGUGGAGGUAAGCGGAAUAUGUCAUGUAGCGGUGAAAUGCUUAGAUAUGACAUAGAACACCAAUUGCGUAGGCAGCUUACUACACGAUCAUUGACGCUGAGGCACGAAAGCGUGGGGAGCAAACAGG
RNAcentral lists this ribosomal RNA (253 nucleotides) under uncultured bacterium. RNAcentral describes it as "partial 16S ribosomal RNA". It matches the Rfam family "Bacterial small subunit ribosomal RNA", at positions 524 to 776 of the family's 1533-position model. The record is from RNAcentral.